Molecule: ribosomal RNA, 497 nt
Filed under: uncultured bacterium
Lineage: Bacteria
Description: partial 16S ribosomal RNA
Rfam family: Bacterial small subunit ribosomal RNA
Source: RNAcentral
GAUGAACGCUGGCGGCGUGCCUAAUACAUGCAAGUCGAGCGAACGGACGAGAAGCUUGCUUUUCUGAUGUUAGCGGCGGACGGGUGAGUAACACGUGGAUAACCUACCUAUAAGACUGGGAUAACUUCGGGAAACCGGAGCUAAUACCGGAUAAUAUUUUGAACCGCAUGGUUCAAAAGUGAAAGACGGUCUUGCUGUAACUUAUAGAUGGAUCCGCGCUGCAUUAGCUAGUUGGUAAGGUAACGGCUUACCAAGGCAACGAUGCAUAGCCGACCUGAGAGGGUUAUCGGCCACACUGGAACUGAGACACGGCCCAGACCCCUACGGGAGGCAGCAGUAGGGAAUCUUCCGCAAUGGGCGAAAGCCUGACGGAGCAACGCCGCGGGAGUGAUGAAGGUCUUCGGAUCGUAAAACUCUGUUAUUAGGGAAGAACAUAUGUGUAAGUAACUGUGCACAUCUUGACGGUACCUAAUCAGAAAGCCACGGCUAACUACGUG